GCUGUGUGUGUUUUUUGUUUGGGUUCAUACAUUUGUCUCUUUGAUAUUCGAUUUGUUCGUGUACGAACUGUCUUCUGAAUUUCUGGUCCGCUGUUGAACCAAAUUGGUUUGGUACAUAUUCCACUCUUUCAAGGCUUAAGACCAAAAAAGUAAAAUCAGAUACAAUGAACAUGUAUGUUUAAAUUUCAUACGCACACAAUAUAUUGAUUCAGAA
RNAcentral lists this long non-coding RNA (214 nucleotides) under Mytilus galloprovincialis (Mediterranean mussel). Lineage: Eukaryota; Metazoa; Mollusca; Bivalvia; Mytilida; Mytilidae. The record is from RNAcentral.